UACGAAGGGGGCUAGCGUUGUUCGGAUUUACUGGGCGUAAAGCGCACGUAGGCGGGUCGUUAAGUCAGGGGGGAAAUCCCGGAGCUCAACUCCGGAACUGCCUUUGAUACUGGCGACCUUGAGGCUGGAAGAGGUUAGUGGAAUUCCCAGUGUAGAGGUGAAAUUCGUAGAUAUUGGGAAGAACACCAGUGGCGAAGGCGGCUAACUGGUCCAGAUCUGACGCUGAGGUGCGAAAGCGUGGGGAGCAAACAGG
Molecule: ribosomal RNA, 253 nt
Filed under: uncultured bacterium
Lineage: Bacteria
Description: partial 16S ribosomal RNA
Rfam family: Bacterial small subunit ribosomal RNA
Source: RNAcentral